AAAAUAAUCCUACCCUUUGUGAAUUUUGUUUGUUUGAAUAAUUUUUUUUUUUAAAAAUUAUUGGAGUCUUUCCCUUUAGAGUUUGCUUUUGAGUUUGUAAAAGAAUUCGAAAACAUCUAAAGGGGAUGGUCAAUAAUUUUUUUGAAAAAAGACAUUUUUAAAAUUAAACUUUUUGUAUUCAUUUGUCUAAAAUUAUUUUUAUAAUAUAAAAACAACUUUUGACAAUGGAUCUCUUGGUUCUCGCAACGAUGAAGAACGCAGCAAAAUGCGAUAAGUAGUGUGAAUUGCAGAAUACGUGAAUCAUCGAAUCUUUGAACGCAUAUUGCACUUUUUUAGUUUACUAAAAAAGUAUGUCUGUUUGAGUAUCAGUAAAAUAUUCUCAUAAAAAUCAUUGUGUAUUUUUAUGGUUAUGAGUGUUUUACAACGAUACAAGUUGUUUCACUUUAAAUUUUUUUUUAAUAUUGAAAUUUUUCUAAUUUUAUAAUUAAAUUGGAUAAAAUUUUCCCGUCAAAAGGAAUAACCUAAACAAUUUUAAAUGAUUAAUUUUAGCAAAAUUUUCGAAAAAAGGAAAAUUUUUAUUAAAAUAACUUGAUCUCAAAUCAGAUAGGAGUACCCGCUGAACUUAAGCAUAUCAAUAAGCGGAGGAAAAGAAACUAACAAGGAUUCCCUUAGUAACGGCGAGUGAAGCGGGAAGAGCUCAAAUUUGAAAUCUUCAAGGUUUUACCUUGACGAAUUGUAGUUUAAAGAAGUGUUUUCUGCUGAAGUUUUGGUAAAAGUUCUUUGGAAUAGGACAUCAUAGAGGGUGAGAAUCCCGUAUUUGACCAUUAUUUCAGCUUUGUGAUACACUUUCAAAGAGUCGGAUUGUUUGGGAAUGCAGUCCAAAAUGGGUGGUAAAUUUCAUCUAAAGCUAAAUAUUGGCGAGAGACCGAUAGCGAACAAGUACCGUGAGGGAAAGAUGAAAAGAACUUUGAAAAGAGAGUUAAACAGUACGUGAAAUUGUCAAAAGGGAAGCGUUUGACACCAGUGUUGUUUUCUCGAAAAUCAAUUAAAAAUGGCUCGAUCUUGUAUUGCUGAGACCUUAAAAGCUCACUGUACAUUUUUCGUGUCUUUUUUAAUGCACUUUUCGUUUAACAAGUCAACAUCAGUUUCUUUUGUUGUAAAAGGGUCAUUGGAAGGUGGCUUUCUUUUCGGAGAAAGUGUUUAUAGCCUUUGGCCUCUGCAAUCGGAGAGACUGAGGUCUGCAGCGUAGACUCUUCGGGGUUAGAUACAUUUGUGCUAAGUUAUAGCUUUUUAUAGACAACUUGUUGACUAUAAUUAGUCUUGUAGCUUACUCGCUUAUGCUAUUU
This 1346-nucleotide unclassified non-coding RNA is filed under the name uncultured Neocallimastigales. Its description in RNAcentral is "partial contains internal transcribed spacer 1, 5.8S ribosomal RNA, internal transcribed spacer 2, and large subunit ribosomal RNA". The stretch from base 590 to 1346 matches the Rfam family "Eukaryotic large subunit ribosomal RNA", at positions 1 to 617 of the family's 3401-position model. The record is from RNAcentral. Lineage: Eukaryota; Fungi; Neocallimastigomycota; Neocallimastigomycetes; Neocallimastigales.